Molecule: ribosomal RNA, 484 nt
Filed under: uncultured bacterium
Lineage: Bacteria
Description: partial 16S ribosomal RNA
Rfam family: Bacterial small subunit ribosomal RNA
Source: RNAcentral
AUUGAACGCUGGCGGCAGGCCUAACACAUGCAAGUCGAGCGGAUGAAGGGAGCUUGCUCCUGGAUUCAGCGGCGGACGGGUGAGUAAUGCCUAGGAAUCUGCCUGGUAGUGGGGGAUAACGUCCGGAAACGGGCGCUAAUACCGCAUACGUCCUGAGGGAGAAGGUGGGGGAGCUUCGGACCUCACGCUAUCAGAUGAGCCUAGGUCGGAUUAGCUAGUUGGUGGGGUAAAGGCCUACCAAGGCGACGAUCCGUAACUGGUCUGAGAGGAUGAGCAGUCACACUGGAACUGAGACACGGUCCAGACUCCUACGGGAGGCAGCAGUGGGGAAUAUUGGACAAUGGGCGAAAGCCUGAUCCAGCCAUGCCGCGUGUGUGAAGAAGGUCUUCGGAUUGUAAAGCACUUUAAGUUGGGAGGAAGGGCAGUAAGUUAAUACCUUGCUGUUUUGACGUUACCAACAGAAUAAGCACCGGCUAACUUCGUG